Molecule: ribosomal RNA, 468 nt
Filed under: uncultured bacterium
Lineage: Bacteria
Description: partial 16S ribosomal RNA
Rfam family: Bacterial small subunit ribosomal RNA
Source: RNAcentral
GACGAACGCUGGCGGCGUGCUUAACACAUGCAAGUCGAACGGAAAGGCCCUGCUUUUGUGGGGUGCUCGAGUGGCGAACGGGUGAGUAACACGUGAGUAACCUGCCCUUGACUUUGGGAUAACUUCAGGAAACUGGGGCUAAUACCGGAUAGGAGCUCCUGCUGCAUGGUGGGGGUUGGAAAGUUUCGGCGGGUGGGGAUGGACUCGCGGCUUAUCAGCUUGUUGGUGGGGUAGUGGCUUACCAAGGCUUUGACGGGUAGCCGGCCUGAGAGGGUGACCGGCCACAUUGGGACUGAGAUACGGCCCAGACUCCUACGGGAGGCAGCAGUGGGGAAUAUUGCACAAUGGGUGGAAGCCUGAUGCAGCAACGCCGCGUGCGGGAUGACGGCCUUCGGGUUGUAAACCGCUUUCGCCUGUGACGAAGCGUGAGUGACGGUAAUGGGUAAAGAAGCACCGGCUAACUACGUG